GAGAAAAGGGAGGGGGACGGAAGAGGAAGGAGGACUGAGCCCGGGAGAGAGAGGGGAGGGGUCGGCGCGCGACCGGGUCAUGCAGGUGCAGACUGGCCGGUCGCUUCCCGCCCUCCAGCCACCCGCAGCUCCCCGGCAGGCGAAGGGCGGCCGCGCGGGUGUGGGCCGAGAGAGGGAGGCGGCUCGGCUGGAGCGCGCCGUCCGCCCGACCCCCGCCGCCUCUCGGGCGCCUGCGCUCACGCUGCGGGGCCCAGCGCAUUGUGAGCCGGGUCGAGCUCCACGCUGGCAGCGUCUGAGAGCUGUCCUGGGCCGGAGGUGGCGCGAACCCUGUGCGGCCUAGAGUGGGCCUGGGGAAGCCAGCUGCCAUGUUCUGAGUACUCUCUGGAAGGGCCUGCAUGGCAAGGAACUGAUGUUUCCAGCCAGCAGCCAGCAAGAACUGCAAGCCUUGUGAAUGAGCUUGGAAGCAGAUCCUCCCCUCACUCAAGCCAUGAUAUGACAACAGCCUGAGACCCAGAGGACACAAACCACAGUCAAAAAAGGUCUUCCUGAGUUCUGAAGGUCAAGCAAUUAGAAUUUUCUCAGGCUUGUAGAAGAGUGGAAUUCUGGAAACCAGUCUUCGCCUCAGGGGAGCAUCUGUUGGAAGUUCUUAGAAUCAGAAAUCUGAGCGUAGGAAGAAGUGGGUUAGCCCUGGAGAAAGGAAAAGGAGGAUCAUGGUUCUCUGCAAAGAGCUGGAAGCUAAAAAGCAGGCUGUGUUUACUUACCAACCAGGACUCAGUGGGAUCUUUGCCAGCUUCCAAUAUGGCCUUAAAAGUAUAUGAAAUCCAAGAAAUAUUUCUGCAAAGCAAGAGAUCUUCACUGCUUUAUUUUCCACCACCUGAAUCCUUGCAGUGAGUGUAGUGUGUAUCUAAUCAAUCUAUUAAAAAAUACUUCAAAAGU
RNAcentral lists this long non-coding RNA (936 nucleotides) under Homo sapiens (human). Its description in RNAcentral is "HSALNT0348862". Lineage: Eukaryota; Metazoa; Chordata; Mammalia; Primates; Hominidae. The record is from RNAcentral.